CUAGCCAUAUCUCAGUGGCAAAGCACCUGCUUUGAAUGCAGAAGGUCCUAAGUUCAAUCCCCAGGUAGGGCUGGG
Molecule: non-coding RNA, 75 nt
Organism: Podarcis lilfordi (Lilford's wall lizard)
Lineage: Eukaryota; Metazoa; Chordata; Lepidosauria; Squamata; Lacertidae
Source: the annotation of a GenBank genome assembly